ACUGUCAAUACCCCAAUUGCGAACCAAAAGUGGUGAAACUCUCUUGCUUUCAACACGACGUCAAAACGAAGAACACAUCGAUUCUUCAAAAAACCCUAAUCAUCGGAAGUGAAAGACCAGACGAUAAAAGCUUUCGGCAAAGACAAUUCUGCUGACGAACAACGACGGAAGUAUUUCAGGCGAUUCAAGAAAUCAUCAUUUUGAAGCCAGUUGCUCAUACUAUCCAAGUGCAGCAGAGGAUUCAAUGACUCCAUCAACAUCAUUAGCCAUCAUCAAUGACUCUAAAACUCCCAUUUCUAACAAAGAAGCUUCUUCGAACAGAAAAGAACUUCCAACUCAAAGAAUCUUCAAAGUUAAUCAUGGUGAUCAUCUGUUUGAAACUGGAGUUGGCAAGAAAGCUAUGGUGAAUUUGAGAGCCAACCCUGCAGCAAUGUCAAGAUCAGUCAACUUCCAGGAGACUUCAUGGCUAUGAACAUUGAACAAGCUUCAAUGUCAAUGACUUCGAGUUCUUUCCAAUACAUACCCAUCGAUCAAGAAUGCAAACGGGCGGUUUUGUCAUGAGUUUGGUGGUUGUAUAUAGCCAUGUACAAAUAAACCAGUUGAUUGCUAAUCAUGUUUUCCUGCUUGUUGACCACUA
This is a long non-coding RNA of Cynara cardunculus var. scolymus (artichoke), 637 nucleotides long. RefSeq lists it as uncharacterized. Lineage: Eukaryota; Viridiplantae; Streptophyta; Magnoliopsida; Asterales; Asteraceae. The record is from RefSeq and is a predicted model, not a curated record. The transcript has 2 exons.